UAAUUCUAGAUGUUUAAAUGCUGCGUGCCUUUUGAAUUGAUAUGAUUUCAACGCGCGUGCGCGUGCGCGUGCGAGUCGCAUUCAAAGUUGUCCGAUUCAAAGACAGGAGCGCACGCGAGCAGAUGGAAACCAUGGAAACGAGGAAACCUCUUCAACUGACAAACAGCAAAAAUAGCGUCUCUCUGUUUUUCCACUGCUUUCAGAAAAGGUUUUGAGUCUUCGAAAAAGUCCGUUAGCAUCUCAACUGUUUUCAGAAUAGUCUAGAAAAUCAUCAUGAUGUCCUGCUACAGCCCUGUCCCAAGACAACCUCCACGGCUAUGAACUCGACUAAUGAGAUAUCAUUUGACCCUGUGAUUCUUCAGGACCAGAUCUUGAUGCCAUCCACACCCAGUACAUGACAAAGAUGCUGUGACAAAAAGCAGUCAAGCCACUGCAUGUGAUGUGGAAGCCUCUAUGAAGACAUGGCUCCGUAAUCCCUGGGACAGAGAUGGGGGACGGCAAGGAAGGGCCAGAACUGCAGAAAUACCUACUGUUUCCCCUGAGGGGAUUGAUUUUUAAUUUUCAAUCCCCUGUUUUCUGUGGUUAUUGCUGUUUUAAACUGUAUUAUCAUUAAUUAUAAUUAUUAUUAAAUAUAAAUAAAUUAUUUGGGGAAAAAACAUGACCCUUG
Pimephales promelas (fathead minnow) is the source of this 667-nucleotide non-coding RNA. The record is from RefSeq and is a predicted model, not a curated record. Lineage: Eukaryota; Metazoa; Chordata; Actinopteri; Cypriniformes; Leuciscidae.